GGAAUAUUGGGCAAUGGAGGCAACUCUGACCCAGCAACGCCGCGUGAAUGAUGAAGGUCUUCGGAUUGUAAAGUUCUUUUCUAAGGGAAGAAGAAAGUGACGGUACCUUAGGAAUAAGCCUCGGCUAACUACGUGCCAGCAGCCGCGGUAAUACGUAGGUGGCGAGCGUUAUCCGGAAUGAUUGGGCGUAAAGGGUGCGCAGGCGGUCCUGCAAGUCUGGAGUGAAACGCAUGAGCUCAACUCAUGCAUGGCUUUGGAAACUGGAGGACUGGAGAGCAGGAGAGGGCGGUGGAACUCCAUGUGUAGCGGUAAAAUGCGUAGAUAUAUGGAAGAACACCAGUGGCGAAGGCGGCCGCCUGGCCUGUUGCUGACGCUGAGGCACGAAAGCGUGGGGAGCAAAUAGG
Molecule: ribosomal RNA, 404 nt
Filed under: uncultured bacterium
Lineage: Bacteria
Description: bacterial SSU rRNA
Rfam family: Bacterial small subunit ribosomal RNA
Source: RNAcentral